This 9530-nucleotide long non-coding RNA is filed under the name Sarcophilus harrisii (Tasmanian devil). RNAcentral describes it as "lncRNA (ENSSHAG00000030410.1)". The record is from RNAcentral. Lineage: Eukaryota; Metazoa; Chordata; Mammalia; Dasyuromorphia; Dasyuridae.
GCUUUUGCUUACAUUAGAAAACCUUCAAUAACCAAGAAAACAAUAUACACAACUGCAACAACACAAAUGGAAAGAACAAAAAUUUAAAUGGACAGUGAAAUUAUAGGGAUGAAACGAGCUCAAAGAACAGACAUAAUAUUGUACCUUUGUUCCUUUUUUAUAGAAGUAAUGGAUUAUGAGUAUUGAACAUUAAAUAUUCUAACUUACUUGCAGGAAGAGUUAGUAAGUAUUUUUGUCUCUCUCCUGUUCUUUGUUAGAAGGUAUAUGAAGGAGGGGUAUGUAUUGAGAAAUUAAUACAAAAACAAAAAAGUCAACCAAUUUUAAAAUAAAAAUUUUAAAACAAAGAAAAAUAAAAAAAUCGAGCAUUUGCAUGGUACAUAAAUUGUGAAUUUAUAGAUGCUUAUCACAAUUCCAAAAUAUAUAAUGUGUUUGUCAAUGUUAUGAAAUCUUCAGUACACCAGAAAAUAUUAUAUAAACAGACUACAACAAUGAAAGAAACAAACAACAACAACAAAAAAAAAAAAAACAUAGAAAGGGGGAGAAAGGCUAAAUACAAUGUAAUUAUAAAGACCUAUAAGUUUGGCCCUAGAGAAGAACUGAAGAUAUGUAAGGAAAUUCAGGUAGUCAAUAUUGCAUAUAUUGUCCAAUUUGUUUAAUAUGUUGGUUGGUUUUGUACAGGUGUUUUUCCUGCCUCUUUUUAAAUUCUUUGCAAUGUGAGAUAGCCACAACAUAGGAAAAGAAAAACAUUUUAGAAAUAAAGUUGAUUAAAAAUACAAUAAAAAGUUUUAAAUAAAACGAAUAGCAACAAAAAGAAAUGAGCUUUCCACAAGAUUUUUCUAUGAUUAGACAAAUUACUAUUCAAAUCAUAAGAUCCAAUAAAUAAUGUAAAUAUAAAUGCUUAAAAACUUAAAUCUAAUUCAUAUAAUUCAAUUUGUCAAAUUUCUACAGAGUAUCUAUCUGUCCAUAAUUGUACAGGCUUCUGUGGGUAUUUAAAAGUAUAUACUUGAUGUGAAGGGAACAGCAAAAGACUUUGAAAUGGCAAAAAGUCUUGAAAUCCCAAUGGGAAAAAAUCUAUAUAAUAUGGACCAUAGAUAGAACACAUAAACAGUGAAUUCUCUUAACCUAAGUAUUCUGUAUUAUGGCAGAAAUAUCAGGUAAUGUGAAAUAUACUCUAAUGCAAAAAUAACAUAAAAGGCAAUCUAUUUAACAUAAGAAGCAAGAAGUUCUAUAUUCUAAUCCCACCUUUGGUUACAACUUGUUCUAUGUUUUGAUUUAACUGAAAAAUAUUGGCAAUCCAUUUAAAGAAAUCAAUCACGGCAGUAGAAGUAUAUAUUAGUUACUGUUUUGGUACAUGUGGAAAAGUUUCACAUCAAGUUAUGUUUAUUGAACUGGAAAACUGUUAAAUGAAAAUCAUUCUGGUUAUUCAACAAUAUUUAUUGUGCAUGUCACCACUCACAUUCAUGAAUCUCCAGUCAUAAGGCAAAUUAAUAGACUCUGUGUUGGCACUUCAAUUCUCUGUUUAAUGAUAUAUUUAUUUUACUGAUGAUAGCUGUCCUCAUUAGGGACUCAACACUCUAAAAGGACAUAAAUUCCACAACAAUUAACCUUGUGAACAACAGAGUAAAUAUAAGAAGUUUAUCACUUAUUACAUAAAUAAAUACUAUAAAUAAAUUUUAAUAUACCAAAAGAAGGACAGUAAUCAUCAGUUAAGCAAAAAACAAAACAAAACAGGAAGUUAAGAAUCAAAAUGUCAGCAUAGCUAUAAGUUACUGGUUUUAUGUUAAAUGAGAAACAUUCUCUGGUUUAGCAUUGGCAUAUCUAUAAUAUACAAUAUAUUAAAGUGAGACACAAUAAUAUGUCAAAAUAAAAGUAUAGAGUUCUAAAAGCACAGUACAAAUAUGAAUUACUAUUAUUAUAAUGUAGACUCCAUUAUAAAGGACCAUGUUAUUACCUUCAUUGCUCAUUUUCUUGUACUAUUUUUAAAUGUUCAGCUCCUGUGUCUAUAUUUAGUGAAAAUUUUAUCCUAAAGAGCAGUGAGAAUGAUGAAGUACCAUGUCAAAUGAAGACUGGCUGGUGUAAUUAGAAAUGUUUAGGUGGGAUGAUAUGGUCAUUCUCUUCAAUUAUCUGAAAGGUUGUUGUGGAAAAGAGAUUAAACUUGAUUCUUCCUAUGGGGAGAUUUUCUAAGAUAGAUAGAUGAAUAGAUGAAUGGAUGAAUGAUAGGAAGGAAGGAGAAAGGAGAAAGAAAGGAGAAAAAGAAGGAAGGAAGGAAGGAAGGAAGGAAGGAAGGAAGGAAGGAAGGAAGGAAGGAAGGAGAAAGAAGGAAGGAAGGAAGGAAGAAACAAAGAAAACAUCCUGCUGGAUGCAAUGGUUGGCCUUAUGCUGGCAAAAAUCGGCCAGUGAUAUCAUGGGUAUAUCAAUAGAUAAACUCUAGUGUGUAAUUUUCCAGCUUUACAUGAUAUUCCCCCAAGGUUUCCCAUUGCUGCAUUGAGAAUUCCAGUUGGGUGGAGAAGUAACCCUUACUUAAUGACAUCAGCGAAGACAUCCAAAACAUAAAGAUUAUCAGCAAUAGUAGGAGAUGACAGUAGAAAACUGGAAAUGGUAUUGAAAAAUGAUGAGGAAAUAACUACAACAGAGAGAAUGAAGGAGGGCAGAAGGAACAUAAAAAUAGAAGUUGUGAGCAGGUAAAUUGCUAUACUGUCUGCCCCCAAGGAAGAUAUAUAGAAGUCAAUAAUUAGGACAUCAAAUGUCAACUCUAGUUUAAGUUCAAUGUGACUGAUUACCUCAAUAUAAAAAUAAAACUAGUAAUAAAACCCUCAAACUUUUAACUGCUUAUAGAAGGAGCUGUAGUGGCUUUUUAUAAUAUGAAUUAUUUCAAAUAACAAUUUGUCAUUCCAAAAACUAUUUUAAAGAGUUUGGGGAUAGCAGAGGUAAAUGUUGCAAAAUGGAAACUUGGCUUGGUAUAUUUCAUCUUCAUUUUAAUCUCUGAACUCCCAGUGAGUACAUACUAAUCAACAGAAUAUCUCCAAUAUUAUGGGGAAGUUUUUGAACUAGCCAGAUUGCUCAGGCUGAUUUCCCAGAUAUGACUUUCUUAAGGAAUAUGAAUCUUCCUGGUUUCUCCCUCAGUGGUAAUCGGUGUAAAGGAACAUGGGAUUCAGAGAAAAAUAGGAAAACCGAUAUGAACUAACACACAGCAAAGAGAGCAAAACCAAAAAGGAGAUCAAACGAAACAAGGACUAAAAUAAUAGAAAUAGAAAUAACAUUGAAAGAAUCAGCUGGGCUCUGAUUGCAAUGAUUACUUGAUCUCCACCAAAAAAAAAAAAAAAAAGAUAGUGAAACACUCUCUUUGUGGGGAAGGUUUCAGGGGAAGUCAAUGAGUGAGAAAUGUUGUACAGUUUGUUAAAGUCAUUGCUUUGUUGAUCAGUUUUGCUUGAAUGUUUUUCUUUGCUAAAAGGAACAACUCAAUGGUUUAUCAAAGAAUAGUAGUGGUAUAAAACACAAAAAGCAUCAGUAAUUCUUAAACUGAAAAUAACAUGUAUCCGUCAUUUAUAAAUCUUCAUUCUGGUACAGAUCUUAGAGUUCCCUAGUUGUUUUGCAGAUAGCUAUCCCUUAACUCUCACUAAACAUGCUAACAAAGCCCAAGCUGAUAGACUUGCAUCAGUUUUCUGUUUGAGGAUGUUAUACAAAUAAAUACAUUUUAAAGGAGACUCAAAGAAAAUUACAAAUUCUGAACACCCUGAUAUAAAAGGAAAGGCAGCAUCAAAUAGCAAAAAGUCGGCUAGCUUUUGAGUCAGAAAAACAUACUGGAUCUGCCACAUAUUGACAAUGUUACUAUGAGCAAGAUAGUUCUCCUCUAAAUAUCCCUAGGCAAUUCUCCAAAACUGUAAUUCCAAUCUGUGUUGGUAAAGCAAGCUUUCACCAAGGAAGUUCUCUGUAUUUAUGAAAGUAUAGUUCCAGAACAAAUAAGGAAAAAGAUGUGCAAAAUAUCUGUCAAAUUUUUAAACAUAUUACUACUUUUUAAUUACAACUCUCCAGAAGAUAGCAUAUUCAGCAUAUUAACCCACGGCUUUAAAUAUGGCUUAUUCCAUGUGGUAGAACUCUAUCAACAAUGUGAUGAAUAUUCAUCUAGGAAAUAUACUCCAUUAUGACUGGAUGCAGAACCCCUGAAGAUUCAACUUAUACUUUAGAUAGUGACUUUUCCACAUUUUUUUUAAUUUGACAAAUAUUCAUGAAGCACCUACUCCAUGCACAUCACUAUGCUAGGUACUAAACACUGACAUGAGAGAAGGGAAAGAGAAUACAAAGAUAAAUAAGGUACGGCCCCCUAAAGCAGAACUGACAGGGAAACAUAAGGAAACAAACAUAAAAAUAGUAUGUGCUUAGUGCAUAAGACAUAGUAGAUAGUAGAAAGUCAGACUUUAAAAGCAUUUAUUAAGCACUUGUUGUGUGCUAAGCUCUACUGUAGAUACUGGGAAUUCAAAUGCAAUGAAGUGAAACAGACUCUGUCCCCAAGGAACUUACUUCAGAAUAGAAAAGUGACUUUUAUGAAGGGAAUCAAAAUUGAAAUAGACAGGGAAGGAAGUGAAGGAUUACAAUAGACCAUGAUGGAAAGAGAGAGAGAGAGAGAGAGAGAGACAGAGAGAGAGAGACAGAGAGAGACAGAGACAGAGAGAGAGAGAAAGUGCAGAGACAGAGAGAGAGAGAAAGUGCAGAGACAGAGAGAGAGAGAGAGAGACAGACAGAGAGAGAGAGAAAGAAAGUGCAGAGACAGAGAGAGAGAGAGAGAAAGUGCAGAGACAGAGACAGAGAAAGAACAGAAAAAACAGACAGGCAGAGACAGACAAAGACAGAGACAAUGAUAGAGAGCAGGAAACAGUGACAGAGAUAUGAGGAGAAGAGAAGGAGGAGAGAGACUUUGAAAGACAGACAAAGAGUGAUAUAGAGAGAAAGUGGAAAGAAAGGGAAAGGAGAGGGAGAGGGGAAGAGAGGGAGGAGAGAAAGAGAGAGGAAGAGGGAAAAAGAGAGAGGGAGAGAGAGAGAGAAACAGUGAGAGAGAGAGAGGGGGAGAGAGGGAAAAGAAGGGAGGGAGAGAGAGAGAAAAAGAACCCAUUUUAGAAAAAUAAUGAAUAGUAUAGUUUGACUGAAAUCGAAAUGAUAUUGCAACAGAGUAAUGUAAAAGUGUGAAAGCAAAGCAAACUGGCAAGGUAAAUUGAGACGAGAUUAUGAAUUGUUUCAAAAUGGCCAAGACUAUUCCAUUGAGGACAUUAUUGAAAAAACAGAUUCCUAUCUGAAGUCAAAGCCAUAUAAGUUGUUAACACAUGAAGAGCUGCUAGGUGGCACCAUAGUGCACAGUGUCAGACCUGAAGUCAGCAAGAUUCUUCAUGAGUUCAAAUCUGACUCCAGACAUUUAUUAGCUGUGACACCCUGGGAAAAUCCCUGUUUACUUCAGUUUCCUUAUCUGUAAAAUGAUCUGGAAAAGGAAAUGACAAAUCACUCGAGCAUCUUUGCCAAAAAUGCUGAGAUCACAAAGAGUCACAUAUAACUGAAUAGUUUGGGGGGGAAAGUAUAUGAAGAUCUAACAACUGUAUAAAACUAAAAUAUUUGCAAAAUUAAGAUUUAUACAUUAAUGUUUCACUAUCUUCAUAAUGCCCUUUAGAGAUGAAUAUUAUUACUAUUCCCAUUUUACAGGUGAGGACAUUGAUGUUUCCAUGAGUUGCCUAGAUUUAUAACAGGCAAUAAAUCCAUAAGGCAGCAUUCCAACUCCAAAGCUACCACUUUAUCAACCACAGCAUCUCUCUUUUUUAUUAUUUUAAUUUUAUUUUUAUUUUCAGUUCUACAGUGUCUCUCUCCCUCUCCCUUUCUCCCACCCAUUGAGAAGGCAAGAAAUAUGAUUCCCAUUACAAUCAUACAACAUCUCUUUCAAUGGCAGUUACAUGAAUUUAGACACAAAUUAAAGAUAAUCAAAUUAUAUUUACUCAGAAUCAUGUCCAUGUCCAGAAAUAAACUGUCAUCUGUUUUUGUUUUUGUUUUUGUUUUAUCCCUACUCCUGGGACAUUCUUGUGGCAUUUUAAAACUCAUAGAUGAUUGGAAAGAGUCAGUAUGGGAUAGUAGAGAGGGACCUGGCUGUAAGCCAGGAGGACAUGAGUCUUUACAGUAAUGUAUAUGAACUGUGUAAACCUGGACAAAAUACCUAACCUUUGGUGUUUGGACAACUCCAUAAGACUACAAAUCAGAUCUUAGGUUGUUACUGUUGUUUAGUCAUUUUUGAAUUUGUGACCGCAUUUGGAAUUUUCUUGGCAGAGAUAUUGGAGUAGUUUGUCAUUUCAAACUCUAGUUCAUUUUACAGAGUAGAAAAUGGAGACAAAUAGGGUUAAGUGACUUGCCCAAGAGCACACAGCUAAUAAGUGUUUAAGGUCAGUUUGAAUUCAGGAAGAAGAAUCUUCCUGACCCCAGAGAGACUAUUUUAUCCACUUCACCACCUACCUACCGCAUACCAGGUACUGACAGAACAUACUGACCAGCAUUGAUAAAAGGCAUUUCUUUACUUGUCCUUUUUGGCCCGGAAAAACUGGAUAUAGGAAAAGCUGUUGUAAAAAACAACAACAACCCAUGUUACAUUUUCUAGCCUGAGAAGGAGUCCAAUCUCCCAGUCACUGCAUCAAAGACAAUUUUAGCUCAGGUAUAUAUCCUGCAAAGGUGCAGAGGUCAGAUGGAAAGCAGAUUAACUUCUGAACAUAUUCACGUUUUGAAGACUUCUCUGAACAGGUUCUGAGGUCUGCUCUUCCUCCUCUCUCCACCUCCUUGCACUACACACCUCCACCAUUGUGAAUGUCAGUAGUCUUUGAAAAAAAUCAAUAUCUUGCACCCCCAGAUCUUGCCAGAAAAGUAGCAGUGGCUUAACAGAUAAUCACCUAGCUCUUGCUAUUCAAGCAGCUGCAAAGCCUAUCAAAAACAUCAGCUCAUGUGCAUGCAAAAAGGCAGAAUGUGGCCUUCAGAUAAAACUGAAUGCGAAGUCAAAAUUAGUCGAGCAUAUAUUAUGUAUGAGUUGAUGAAUUAAUAACUGGGGAUAUUUGCAUUGGCAGGUUGUAUAAGCAGGAAAGGUUUUCUUUGAUACAAUUACUAUUUCCUCAGCUAAAUAUCAAAAAUAAUAGGAAGCUGUGUAGCUUAGAACAAAAGAUGUAAGACAGAAAGGCACAAAGCAAUUAGUGAGACUUUCUAUCACAAGCCAGUGGACUGAUCCCCUACCUUCCCCACAUCCAAGGAAAUCAAUUUCUAUUCACAUCAUGUAUAUUUUUCAUUUCCUUAUCUGGUAUCUGUGUUUUCCUUUGAUGAAAAUGGGUUUGGGGAAACUUCUAUUUUAUAUAUAUAUAUGACAAACUCUAUUAUCACAAUCUUGAAGAAACUGUAUAACUUGUUUGUUCUAAUGGAAUCAUAUAUCAAAUAUAACUUGAAACACGUAGGCCAUAAUUGGGACCUUGAUAUCAGUAUUUUCUAUAGACUCCCAUUGCAAUAGUAUUUAUCCUAACAAUGUGUGACCUACAGAAAUACCCUCAAACAAAAACAACUGCUAUGGUCUAUCCCAAUGAUUCCAAAAAUUAAUAACAACUUCCAGAAAUGAUUCAUUUGUAGCGAAAGAAUUUCUAAGCUUAAUCAUGAUGGUAGAACUAGAUAUUAUUUAUGUAUCAGGAAACCUAAUCUAUACUAAUGGGGAAAAGUAGGGUGAGUCCAAGUAGAAUUAUACUUCAGCUUCUAAUAAUCUGGAUCAGUUUGAGAGUCAUUGUAUUGUUUAGAUGUUCAGAACAAAUACUAAUUUGUAGCUCCUUUGUCUCUAGACCCUAUGAGAUUUUCUUAGCUGCAUAGUAUUCUACUCCAUGUAAUCCAUUAAUCUAAGAGCCCUUCCAGUUCAGUGUGCUUCCCAAAAGGGCUGAAAAGUUUGCCAAGAGCAUUCUUUCCUUAUACUAACCCUACAAGUAUUUUUUUAUUUUUAUUUCACAAGUGAGUUCACUAAAAGUGACAGAGAAAUAUUUUGCUCCUGGUCACACAACAAAGCCAUCUUCUGAUUUCAUUGUACUGAAUAUUCUCAAUGAAUCCCUCUGAGUCACUUACAGUUUCUAACCUGGGAUAUAUGCUAAGAAGUCAGGUGCUAUUUAGGAUUUCCCCAAUGUUUACCUCUCUGCAACUUAUUAACAUUCUAUCUCUUUCUAAAGUAUUUUAUAUUAACUUUUUAUUUAUUUCUCUCAGUACAGCAGAGUGGACUCUUCUUGAAGGUAAAAACAUUGAUUCCUGUCUACAGAUCCUUAGGACCUAGAAUAUUGCUUUAGGAAAAAACUGAGGAAGACUAGAUCAUUUUUAAUUGGGAGUAUCAGGAAGCAUCUAUGGAAGAAGCAUUAGCCUUUCAGGAAAAGAAGUCUUUCAUCAGAAGGAAGAAAAGGGAAGGUUCUCCAGUCACAUAAGCUGGCUCCAGUGGAUCAUAGAGGUAGAUAGUUAGAUGUAGAGUAACUCAGAGAACAACCAGUAAACCAAUUUAGUUGGAAUAGAAUGUGUUAAGGGACAAUAAAUAUGAAAUAAAGCUAGAAAAAGAGGUAGAAAAUGGUGAGUACAUUUGAUGUCAAAAAAAGGAGAUUUUAGUCUAUAAAUGGCAUUGACACUGAAAAUUUUUAAGCAAGGGAUAUGACCUGACCAGAUAUUUUGGAAAAGUUAUUUUGGCAAUUGUGUGAAAGGGGAUUUGGAAAGAUGAUAGUAGGUUAUUUAAAAAGAAAAAAAACAAUUAAAGGCUAGGUAUAAGGUGACUAUGUUUAGUAACAACAGUAAGCAAAGUUCUGUAUGGAGUCUGGAAGACCUAAGUUCAAAAUCCAUCCUUAGGCACUUCUGAGUAGUGUUAUCCUGGACAAAACACUAAACCUCUGUUUUUUGCAAUUGAAAAAUGGAGCUAAAGUUGUUGUAAGGAUGAAAUGAGUAAUUACUGUGAAGAGUUUAAUACAGUACCCAGAACAUAGUAAGUACUAUCUAAAUGUUAGCUGCUGUUAUUACUAUUAAUUUAAAUGAAUUAUGUAAUCUGACUCCCCAUUUUACUAAAGUUGGAGAAAUUUAGUCAAACAAAAUCACAAUGACAUUUUAGUGUCUAGCACAGUAAUUGACAUGUAAUAAGCAUUUAAUAAAAGUGUAUUGUUGAUUGAUUCUAAUAUCAAUGGUAAUUAUAAAACCACAGUUGUUUCUUCCAUUCAUUUAACUGCAGUGGGAUGUUAGAUCACCAGUUGGAUAUAUAGAAAAUUGACAGGAUCCCUUGCUCCAGUACACUCCCUUCUGUUUUCUUACCAGUCUACCAAUGGAUAAAUCAGACAGAGGCAACAGCAGUGCCCAUUAACAAAUGAAAUCAGAGAGUGACCUGGAAGUACUAAAACAAUCAAUAAAUCAAUCAAUAAACAUUUAGGUUUCUACUACCUUCAAGGCCCGAUAUCUUUUCAGCACCCUCUAAAGAUAAAGAAAUGACCCUUAAAACUUCUCUCCCAACUUAAAAAACAUAGAUAUUCUAU